RNAcentral lists this ribosomal RNA (550 nucleotides) under Priestia megaterium. RNAcentral's name for it is "bacterial SSU rRNA". It matches the Rfam family "Bacterial small subunit ribosomal RNA", at positions 108 to 644 of the family's 1533-position model. The record is from RNAcentral. Lineage: Bacteria; Bacillati; Bacillota; Bacilli; Caryophanales; Bacillaceae.
GAGUAACACGUGGGCAACCUGCCUGUAAGACUGGGAUAACUUCGGGAAACCGAAGCUAAUACCGGAUAGGAUCUUCUCCUUCAUGGGAGAUGAUUGAAAGAUGGUUUCGGCUAUCACUUACAGAUGGGCCCGCGGUGCAUUAGCUAGUUGGUGAGGUAACGGCUCACCAAGGCAACGAUGCAUAGCCGACCUGAGAGGGUGAUCGGCCACACUGGGACUGAGACACGGCCCAGACUCCUACGGGAGGCAGCAGUAGGGAAUCUUCCGCAAUGGACGAAAGUCUGACGGAGCAACGCCGCGUGAGUGAUGAAGGCUUUCGGGUCGUAAAACUCUGUUGUUAGGGAAGAACAAGUACGAGAGUAACUGCUCGUACCUUGACGGUACCUAACCAGAAAGCCACGGCUAACUACGUGCCAGCAGCCGCGGUAAUACGUAGGUGGCAAGCGUUAUCCGGAAUUAUUGGGCGUAAAGCGCGCGCAGGCGGUUUCUUAAGUCUGAUGUGAAAGCCCACGGCUCAACCGUGGAGGGUCAUUGGAAACUGGGGAACUUG